Molecule: unclassified non-coding RNA, 192 nt
Filed under: rhizosphere metagenome
Description: partial ribosomal RNA internal transcribed spacer region
Source: RNAcentral
GAAAUAAACCUGAUGGGUUGCUGCUGGCUCUCUAGGGAGCAUGUGCACACCUUGUCAUCUUUAUAUCUCCACCUGUGCACCUUUUGUAGACCCUCUCCAGGUCUAUGUUGCUUCAUUUUACCCCAAUGUAUGUUAAAAGAAUGUUGUGCUUAUAAAAUCAAUACAACUUUCAGCAACGGAUCUCUUGGCUCU